This 497-nucleotide ribosomal RNA is filed under the name uncultured bacterium. Its description in RNAcentral is "partial 16S ribosomal RNA". It matches the Rfam family "Bacterial small subunit ribosomal RNA", at positions 28 to 507 of the family's 1533-position model. The record is from RNAcentral.
GAUGAACGCUGGCGGCGUGCCUAAUACAUGCAAGUCGAGCGAACGGGCGAGAAGCUUGCUUUUCUGAUGUUAGCGGCGGACGGGUGAGUAACACGUGGAUAACCUACCUAUAAGACUGGGAUAACUUCGGGAAACCGGAGCUAAUACCGGAUAAUAUUUUGAACCGCAUGGUUCAAAAGUGAAAGACGGUCUUGCUGUCACUUAUAGAUGGAUCCGCGCUGCAUUAGCUAGUUGGUAAGGUAACGGCUUACCAAGGCAACGAUGCAUAGCCGACCUGAGAGGGUGAUCGGCCACACUGGAACUGAGACACGGUCCAGACUCCUACGGGAGGCAGCAGUAGGGAAUCUUCCGCAAUGGGCGAAAGCCUGACGGAGCAACGCCGCGUGAGUGAUGAAGGUCUUCGGAUCGUAAAACUCUGUUAUUAGGGAAGAACAUAUGUGUAAGUAACUGUGCACAUCUUGACGGUACCUAAUCAGAAGGCCACGGCUAACUACGUG